AGCAAAUGUUCAACUACAAGGUAAUUCCAAAUUGUUUUCCAAGGGAUUGGGACCAAUUUAUACUCCUAUCGACAGCAUAUAAGAGCUCCUGCUGCUCUUCGUCUUCAGUAGUACUUAUAUUUUCAGACUAAAAUUUUUGCCAAUCUGCUCUGAUUGGAAGUAAGUCAGUAUUAGCAGUGUUGUUAAAAUCUCCACCAUGAAGAUCCAUGUGGGUGCUUGGAGUCUUACAAUAGAAAAGAAUGAAUGCAUUCCUUCAUAUUAAAAGACACUAAAAAGUAAUGGCAGAUGAAAUGUGGUCACGUUGAGCAGCUGCUCAGAACCUCAGUAAAGUAUGGGUCUUGAUUACAAAGAGAGAUCUAUGGAUCCCAGUUGAUGGGGAGCAGAAACACAGCUCAGAAGGGGAUUGUGGAAAGCUGGUCAGGGCACGUUUGUCCUGUGGGCCAGGAUGUCUUUAGGGGAAUAUGCAGUACAAAGAGGAAUGGGAUCUAGGCUGAGAUCUGGUCUGGUCAGGAGCAGACUGGCUGCCGGUAAAAAUGGAAAAGAAGAAACAUGUGCUCUGUAUGUUCAUCAUCCCUGUUUCCCACCUUCCUCUCCUUUGGAUUUAUGCCAGGUCUCCCAGGGAUAGGUCCCCUAGUGCCCUCUUUACUCUCCUCAAGGCCUGGUGGAUCCUAACCGAUGGAUGUUUAUGGAGAACUGGUGCUGCCACAGCCAGUAGCAGGACCUGUCUACACCUGUUGGUAACCUGAGCGUCCCACUCACCAAUCCCAGCCUUCAGGCUUUUCCACCCACAUGCCACGUCUCUUGAUCCAUUGGAAGUCAUUAGAUCAGAUUUGAACUGCCUGAGGGACAGGCUCUCCUUUUAAAUUCCAUUUAUCAAGAGCCAUUACGUGCCCAGAACUUGACGGGAUGCUUUUCCUGGAUUAUCAUAUUUAAUCCUCACACCAACAUCAGGUUACAGAUGAAGAGACCAAUUUAGAGAUUAAAUAAUUUUCCCAAGGUCACUCAACCAGUAAGCCUAGAAGUGGGAUUUGGACCUGAUUCGUUGUGUGCAAGCAUAUGCUGCAUCACACUGCCCAGGGCCAGGACGGGCAGCAGAAUGCAGCCUCCUCCACAUGUUCGCCGGACUCUCAGCAUCUAGAGAACUUUGCCCGUCAGCCAGGCAUCUCAAAGCCACAGUCACAGCUCUGGACACACAGGCGCUGAGGAGAACUGAUCGAGCAGUAAUGUCUCCAUGGGGACCAGCCAGUCAGCAACAGUGUACACACUCACUGUGUACUGACCAGGACUCAGACAAUAUGUUCUGCCAAUCCCUGGACUCCUAAUUAGCCUUCCACCUCCCAAAGUGAGUCGGUGUCAUGUUAUCAAACACGUCUCUUUCCUUGUCUCCUCUCAUUUAAGGGACUGUAGCUAGCUCCUACAGCUUAUUCUGUACUACCCAUCAGGACUAAUAUAAAGUCAUUCUAAGAAUAAUCCACCCAAACUGGCCUUCAUAUCUGGUGUCUGGAAUAUAGCAGAAAUCUUUUCAUUCAGUGUUAAAGCAUUGCAUCAUCCAACGAACUGACUGCAAAUGGACACACAGUCUAACUUAAAGGUUAUGGAUCAGUAGGUAAAUGCAAAAAUUCUAUUAGUUUUCAGACCUGGGGUUUAUGACAUUCAUUUAAAAUGAAAUCAAAAUCCUGUACAGAAAUAGGAAAGGCACCAUGGAUAGAUUCACUUUUAACAGCAUCCACUUGGCUAUUACACAAGGGCCAAGAAGACCAUAGUUUCUAUAUCAUGUAGUUACUUUUUAUUCCUGUUCACUGACUUUGACAAAGACGGUAAAUAGCAUGCAGAGAAUAGAUACAUUUUGAAGAAAUAUUAAAACACUGAUUAAUGUCACAUUAAGAAGUGUAAAGUCCCUUGGGUAGAGGGAGAAAAAUUAAAAUGCCUUUGGUUCUUAAUGAAACUGCACCAGGCUUACAUAAAUCUAAAAUCCUUACUUUAACCUGAGUUUAAAAUAAUGGGCUAACUUGACAGUGCUUUACAAAUCCUAGCAAUGAACAUUAUCAUUUAUUACCAGAAUGAGUGAUAAUAGGAGUAGGAGAGAGAUAGUGCAUAUUGGGAAGUGUCCAAAGAGUUUAGCAAGACAAUAUUUCUUUUUCACAACACAAAGAUAAAACAGUCGUAAAACUGAGAGUUCAUUUCAUUCACUUGGAGGAGAAGGGCAGGUGGGUGUUCUAGUUAAGCAGAUUGCAACCCUCUUCUAUAGGAAUGUAAAGGAGAAUGAAGAAACACAAGAGGUAAUAUUCACUCCGCAGUGCAAGAAGGUCCAUGGAUUUAAAGUCCAUCACAGUAAUUAAAUUUCAAUGUUGACACAGUACAUCUCAACAUUCAGACUUCUAAAUAUAGUUUAUACAGUGCCUGUGAGCAAAAUGCAAUGCACAUGAAUAUUUAUCUCUGUAGUGAAGCUGCUUCUGCCACAUGCUCUGAAAAGAAGGGUUGAGAUUAGGACAGACCAAAACAGAGUCCACAGAAUUUGAUGAUAAUCAUUUCAAAGUAGUUGAAAUGAGCCCGUGGCCUCGUCAGAAGCAGUAAUUUUAAGCAUUUUUGGUUGUAGAACCCUUUUCACAAAUGAAAUCUAAUUAGAAACUAAAUAUUUGAAAUGGAUUGAAGUGAGAUAGGUUAGUUGAUUUUUGCAGGUGGCAGGGUAUUCCAGGCCAGUGACUUCUCAAUGCCACAGACUUUGAGAUGCAUAAUCUAAAGCUAUUCUUUUAAGCAAUAAAUAAGUAAAAUAAAAAUCCACUGGGUAUUUGAUUGAUUUUAAGGUACUGACAGAUGGUAGAGAGCUAUGUAUUUCUAAGGAAGGGCUUAUGGAAUGGGUUGGUUAUGAUAGGGAAGAGCAAUAAGAUUAGAUGAAAUGAAUGCUAAAAUAAAUGUUAUUCACUUUCUGCCACAUGAAGAUACUGUUUUCUUUCAUAUUAUUCCUGGGCCCUCAACUGUGGAUCUGG
RNAcentral lists this long non-coding RNA (2987 nucleotides) under Homo sapiens (human). Its description in RNAcentral is "HSALNT0009148". The record is from RNAcentral. Lineage: Eukaryota; Metazoa; Chordata; Mammalia; Primates; Hominidae.